CAGGUUGUGUAUUUAAAUGUAACAAGAGACAUUGUCAGAAUACAUCAGCCAGCUGUACUCACGUUGACGGGUCGUGUGGAGGAGAGAGAGAGAGAAUAACUACAACGAAACCGACUGUACAGGGUGUGAUGAUGGACAUUAUGACCCAGAAUGCAAUUCCUCCUGCAGUGUCAGACACUGUAAAGCUAAUGGUGGAGCAUGUGAUCUCGUGACUGGUUUAUGUAACGGAACAUGUGAAGCAGGUUAGCAAGGAGACGACUGCACUCUCAGCUUUGCGCAAACUUCUCUGCCUGCUGAAAACCCAGGACCAAUUAUCGCUGGCGUCAUCGGUACCGUUAUGUUUC
Long non-coding RNA from Gigantopelta aegis, 344 nucleotides. RefSeq lists it as uncharacterized. The transcript has 3 exons. NCBI's taxonomy places the organism in Eukaryota, Metazoa, Mollusca, Gastropoda, Neomphalida, Peltospiridae. The record is from RefSeq and is a predicted model, not a curated record.